RNAcentral lists this ribosomal RNA (506 nucleotides) under uncultured bacterium. RNAcentral's name for it is "partial 16S ribosomal RNA". It matches the Rfam family "Bacterial small subunit ribosomal RNA", at positions 29 to 523 of the family's 1533-position model. The record is from RNAcentral.
AGUGAACGCUGGCGGUAGGCCUAACACAUGCAAGUCGAACGGCAGCACAGGAGAGCUUGCUCUCUGGGUGGCGAGUGGCGGACGGGUGAGGAAUACAUCGGAAUCUACUCUGUCGUGGGGGAUAACGUAGGGAAACUUACGCUAAUACCGCAUACGACCUACGGGUGAAAGCAGGGGACCUUCGGGCCUUGCGCGAUUGAAUGAGCCGAUGUCGGAUUAGCUAGUUGGCGGGGUAAAGGCCCACCAAGGCGACGAUCCGUAGCUGGUCUGAGGAGAUGAUCAGCCACACUGGAACGGAGACACGGUCCAGACUCCUACGGGAGGCAGCAGUGGGGAAUAUUGGACAAUGGGCGCAAGCCUGAUCCAGCCAUACCGCGUGGGUGAAGAAGGCCUUCGGGUUGUAAAGCCCUUUUGUUGGGAAAGAAAUCCAGCUGGCUAAUACCCGGUUGGGAUGACGGUACCCAAAGAAUAAGCACCGGCUAACUUCGUGCCAGCAGCCGCCAUAA